Molecule: ribosomal RNA, 489 nt
Filed under: Hepatozoon felis
Lineage: Eukaryota; Apicomplexa; Hepatozoidae
Description: bacterial SSU rRNA
Rfam family: Eukaryotic small subunit ribosomal RNA
Source: RNAcentral
GGGGGCCCAUACCAUUCUACAGCAUAAGAAGAAGGUAAGUGGACAAAGAAAUAACAAUACAAGGCAGUUAAAAUGGCUUUGUAAUUGGGAAUGGAUAGAAAAUUUAAACACUUUUUAAAGUAUCAAUUAGGUAGGGCAAGUCUAGGUAGCCAGCAGCCGCGGUAAUUCCAGCUCCAAUAGCGUAUAUUAAAAUUGUUGCAGUUAAAAAGCUCGUAGUUGAAUUUCUGCUAAAAAUAACCGGUCUGCUUUUAAUAAAGGUGGUAUCUUGGUGUGUUUUUAGCAAUAAUGUCCUUUGAAAUGUUUUUUACUUCAUUGUAAUAAAUUAUAUUUAGGAUUUUUACUUUGAGAAAAUUAGAGUGUUUCUAGCAGGCUAAUGCUUUGAAUACUGCAGCAUGGAAUAAUAAAAUAGGAUUUUGGUUCUACAUUAUUGGUUAAAAAGACAUAAAAUUAAUGAUUGAUAGGGACAGUUGGGCAAAUAUUUGUUUAAUA